CCCCCCCCCCAAACCACCCAUGUGGUUUCUGGAUUUCCUGUUCAGUUGUAGCAAAACUUCCCUGGACCCAGGAAUUCCACCUGUGGCUUUUUAAAAAGUGUGGAUACCCAGAUCUUGGAGAAAAACUGGGACCAGCCUGAAAUUUGCCUAAAGCCUCACGGAUGAUUCCCAUUUUGUAGUCCAUAGGUCCAUCUUAACAAUAACUAAUUCCUAACCCGACCCCAGUGUUUUCAUAGUAUUGUGUCCUGGAGACUCAGUUUCCCCAUCUCUAGCACUACUUCCGUUUCCCUUUAAGGGAGGAUGGUUUUCAUCAGAAGAAAAUCCUUUGUUGGUGGAAUCCAAGGGUUUUGAGCGAGCACUACUGAACAGCUCUCGCAUUUUAUAUGAUCUUCCUUAAGCACUACUGAAUACAUGCUCUUUAAAAAAAAAAAGU
Molecule: long non-coding RNA, 433 nt
Filed under: Rattus norvegicus (Norway rat)
Lineage: Eukaryota; Metazoa; Chordata; Mammalia; Rodentia; Muridae
Description: long non-coding RNA NONRATT012349
Source: RNAcentral